This 486-nucleotide ribosomal RNA is filed under the name uncultured bacterium. RNAcentral's name for it is "partial 16S ribosomal RNA". It matches the Rfam family "Bacterial small subunit ribosomal RNA", at positions 899 to 1397 of the family's 1533-position model. The record is from RNAcentral.
ACUCAAAUGAAUAGACGGGGACCCGCACAAGCAGCGGAGCGUGUGGUUUAAUUCGAGGCUACGCGAAGAACCUUACCAGGGAUUGACAUGACGGUAGUAGUGAAGCGAAAGCGGAACGACCCUUCGGGGAGCCGUCACAGGUGAUGCAUGGCUGUCGUCAGCUCGUGCCGUGAGGUGUUUGGUUAAGUCCACUAACGAGCGCAACCCCUAGUGCCAGUUACACGUGUCUGGCACGACUGCCGGUAUUAAGCCGGAGGAAGGUGGGGAUGACGUCAAGUCAGCAUGUCCUUUAUAUCCUGGGCUACACACACGCUACAAUGGCCGGUACAAUGGGUUGCCAAGCCGCGAGGCGGAGCCAAUCCUCAAAAGCCGGUCUCAGUUCGGAUUGCAGGCUGCAACUCGCCUGCAUGAAGUCGGAGUUGCUAGUAACCGCAGGACAGCUAUACUGCGGUGAAUACGUUCCCGGGUCUUGCACACACCGCCCGU